UUGCAGCCAGUUGAGCUGACCAGGUCCCUUUCUUCAUGGAGGCCUGUGUGCAAUGGCUGCAAACAGCAGACUCCUUGGUAACACAU
This 86-nucleotide small nucleolar RNA is filed under the name Neotoma lepida (desert woodrat). RNAcentral describes it as "Small nucleolar RNA SNORA70". It matches the Rfam family "Small nucleolar RNA SNORA70", at positions 1 to 87 of the family's 135-position model. From Rfam's summary of the family: snoRNA U70 seems to be exclusive to mammals and is a member of the H/ACA class of snoRNA which contain H (ANANNA) and ACA box motifs. H/ACA box snoRNAs are involved in the conversion of uridines to pseudouridines (5-ribosyluracil) a constituent of structural RNAs (transfer, ribosomal, small nuclear, and small nucleolar). Lineage: Eukaryota; Metazoa; Chordata; Mammalia; Rodentia; Cricetidae. The record is from Rfam by way of RNAcentral.